AAUCAACGCUGGCGGCGUGCCUCAGACAUGCAAGUCGAACGAGAAAGUCCCCUUCGGGGGAUAAGUAAAGUGGCGCACGGGUGAGUAACACGUAGGUAAUCUACCUUCGGGUGGGGAAUAACCCAGGGAAACUUGGGCUAACACCGCAUAAUGCAGCGGCACCACAUGGUGACAGUUGUUAAAGCGGGGGAUUUUCGGACCUCGCGCCUGAAGAGGAGCCUGCGGCGGAUUAGCUAGUUGGUAAGGAACGGCUUACCAAGGCAACGAUCCGUAGCCGGCCUGAGAGGGCGGUCGGCCACACUGACACUGACAUACGGGUCAGACUCCUACGGGAGGCAGCAGUCGGGAAUUUUGGGCAAUGGGCGAAAGCCUGACCCAGCAACGCCGCGUGAAGGGAUGAAAUCCCUCGGGAUGUAAACUUCGCAAGAAUGGGAAGAAUUAGCGAGCGCUAAUACCGCUCGUGAUGACGGUACCAUUUG
Molecule: ribosomal RNA, 479 nt
Filed under: uncultured bacterium
Lineage: Bacteria
Description: bacterial SSU rRNA
Rfam family: Bacterial small subunit ribosomal RNA
Source: RNAcentral